CCUACAGCUACUGAGGUUUGACAUAACAUGCAUGGGCCAGAACUACCCACUGUAUUUUGUUCAUAGUCCAAACAAAACUGCUUGUUUGGUUCCUAGCUUUGGUUAAUUGUUCUGUCUCCUUUUCAGACUCCUUUUACCUUGUGAGAAGCAGUGCUGCCUUUACUACUGUUACAGGAAUGUCCCAAGCUCAAAGAUUUGUGCCACUAUCUGAAGAAUACCAGAUCAUGCUCAGCUCUCAGGAUCUUACUCUUCAGGUGUGCUGGAUACAAGACAAGCUGAGGGAGGAAGAAAGCGUGGACGUUAGUUACUCUUUGUGCGUGCUGCCAGGACGUGACUGCCGUUCAGAAGCAGAGACAAAGCAGCCGAGCCACGAGCCACGAGCCUCUCCUGCCCCGGUGAUGCUCUCCGUGCCCACAUGCAGCAGCAGGACAAAAGCAUCUCCCUCAUCCCUGGGGCAUAAAGGGAAUGGUGGAGCAAGAGAAAGCCUCAGAU
This 492-nucleotide long non-coding RNA is filed under the name Parus major (Great Tit). RNAcentral describes it as "lncRNA (ENSPMJG00000012817.1)". Lineage: Eukaryota; Metazoa; Chordata; Aves; Passeriformes; Paridae. The record is from RNAcentral.